ACGAACGCUGGCGGCGUGCUUUACACAUGCCAGUCGAACGGAAAGGCCCUGCUUUUGUGGGGUGCUCGAGUGGCGAACGGGUGAGUAAUACGUGAGUAACCUGCCCUUGACUUUGGGAUAACUUCUGGAAACUGGGGCUAAUACUGGAUAGGAGCUCCUGCUGCAUGGUGGGGGUUGGAAAGUUUCGGCGGUUGGGGAUGGACUCGCGGCUUAUCAGCUUGUUGGUGGGGUAGUGGCUUACCAAGGCUUUGACGGGUAGCCGGCCUGAGAGGGUGACCGGCCACAUUGGGACUGAGAUACGGCCCAGACUCCUACGGGAGGCAGCAGUGGGGAAUAUUGCACAAUGGGCGGAAGCCUGAUGCAGCAACGCCGCGUGCGGGAUGACGGCCUUCGGGUUGUAAACCGCUGUCGCCUGUGACGAAGCGUGAGUGACGGUAAUGGGUAAAGAAGCACCGGCUAACUACGUG
This 467-nucleotide ribosomal RNA is filed under the name uncultured bacterium. RNAcentral describes it as "partial 16S ribosomal RNA". It matches the Rfam family "Bacterial small subunit ribosomal RNA", at positions 29 to 507 of the family's 1533-position model. The record is from RNAcentral.